UGCUGGCCAAUGCCCUUUUAACAUUGCACUGCUUUUUGUGCGUGAUCACUAGUAGUACAACAUAAAAAGGGCAUUGGACAGGCA
Tinamus guttatus (white-throated tinamou) is the source of this 84-nucleotide non-coding RNA. The record is from Rfam. NCBI's taxonomy places the organism in Eukaryota, Metazoa, Chordata, Aves, Tinamiformes, Tinamidae.